CGUCCAGGGGGCCGCCUUCGCCACCGGUAUUCCUCCAGAUCUCUACGCAUUUCACCGCUACACCUGGAAUUCUACCCCCCUCUACGAGACUCAAGCUUGCCAGUAUCAGAUGCAGUUCCCAGGUUGAGCCCGGGGAUUUCACAUCUGACUUAACAAACCGCCUGCGUGCGCUUUACGCCCAGUAAUUCCGAUUAACGCUUGCACCCUCCGUAUUACCGCGGCUGCUGGCACGGAGUUAGCCGGUGCUUCUUCUGCGGGUAACGUCAAUGAGCAAAGGUAUUAACUUUACUCCCUUCCUCCCCGCUGAAAGUACUUUACAACCCGAAGGCCUUCUUCAUACACGCGGCAUGGCUGCAUCAGGCUUGCGCCCAUUGUGCAAUAUUCCCCACUGCUGCCUCCCGUAGGAGUCUGGACCGUGUCUCAGUUCCAGUGUGGCUGGUCAUCCUCUCAGACCAGCUAGGGAUCGUCGCCUUGGUGAGCCGUUACCCCACCUACUAGCUAAUCCCAUCUGGGCACAUCCGAUGGCAAGAGGCCCGAAGGUCCCCCUCUUUGGUCUUGCGACGUUAUGCGGUAUUAGCUACCGUUUCCAGUAGUUAUCCCCCUCCAUCAGGCAGUUUCCCAGACAUUACUCACCCGUCCGCCACUCGUCAGCGAANNANCAAGCUNCUUCCUGUUACCGUUCGACUUGCAUGUGUUAGG
Molecule: ribosomal RNA, 699 nt
Filed under: Shigella sp.
Lineage: Bacteria; Pseudomonadati; Pseudomonadota; Gammaproteobacteria; Enterobacterales; Enterobacteriaceae
Description: partial 16S rRNA
Source: RNAcentral